AUGUCGCUCCGCAAGCGCCAGCGGUCGGCGAGCAGCUCCCGCCUCUCCUCCCUCUCCUCGCCGGCGUCGCCCCCCCGCCCCGUCGCCUCCUCCGCCUCCGCCUCCUCCCCGCCGCUCUCGUUCCCCGGCGCCGACCUCCUCCUCCGCCUCCACCUCGACCCCUCCUCCGACGACGUCAAGCCCGACCUCGCCGCCUUCCUCGACCUGCACGUCUCCUCGGCGUCCCUCCUCCGGUCCCGCUACUUCGCGGCGCUCCUCUCCGACCGCUGGUGCCCCGACCCGUCCUCCUCCCCGGCCGGCCGCCUCUCCCUGGCCGUCCCCGCCGCGCCCUCCUGCGCCCGCCCCUUCCACGCCCACGUCGAGGUCGUGCGCCUCCUCCACACGCUCGACUUCGCGGGCACCAUCCGCUCCCCCGCCGACGCCCUCGACAUCCUCCCCGUCGCGCUGCAGCUCCUCUUCGACGCCUGCGUCGAGGCCUGCAUCCGCUUCCUCGAGGCCGUGCCCUGGUCCGAGGAGGAGGAGGCCCGCGUGCUGGACCUCGCGCCGCUCCUCCCCGGCGACGAGGCCGCCGACCUCCUCGCCAGGGUCUCCCUCGCCCCCGCCGCCGCCGCCGCGGCGGGCGAGGCGGCCGCCAGGUCGCCCUCGGAGGCCAUGCUGCACGGCCUGAUCCAUUCCGCCAUCCACGGCCACCCCGUCCCCGCCGCCACCAAGGCGUUCGUGGCGAUGCUCCUCAAGGACUACCCCUCCCGCGACUGCGUGCACAAGGUGCUCGACGAGGCGUUCCUCUCCCGGCUCGACACCGUCAAGGAGCUCCUGGGCAAGUACGCCAGCCCGGACUUCAGGAUCGCCGUCGACAGCGACGAGCGAGAGGCGAUACAGAAGUUGAACCUGCACUCGGCGGUCCUAAAUGUGAAGCAUCUGCUCUGGCUCAUUGAGAGGAUGGUGGAUAUGAGGGUGGCCGAUAACGCGGUGAAGCUUUGGAGCGAGCAGGUCGCGCUUGCUGCUGACUUGCAGAAGUUGCUCAACGAUGCUGACAUGUGGAGGAACAUGGCUCCUGGGCUCCCGAUGCUUGUGACCAGAUGCACGCUCAGGCUUGCCCAUUCAGUUAUGAUUGGGGAGACACUGGUUCCUCGGCAGGUGAGGAUGAAGCUUGUCAAAAGUUGGCUUCCUGUCCUGAAUGUCUGCAGGGACAUCGCCCAACCUAUGCAUAGUGGAUACAAAUUGUCGAACUGCCAAGAGCUGGAGGAGACAUUUCUUAAGAUCAUCUCCACUUUAUCCGUCCCAGAUGCUCAGGAGCUGCUGCAACAAUGCCUUGGGUUCUCAACUCGCAACGUCGAUGACUGCCAGCAUUUGGUCACCGCCUUCAAGACAUGGUUCAGGCGAGCUUCCAGGGAUCCACAAGGUCCACAAGGCGGGGAAGACUGA
RNAcentral lists this ribosomal RNA (1425 nucleotides) under Triticum aestivum (bread wheat). RNAcentral's name for it is "partial small subunit ribosomal RNA". The record is from RNAcentral. Lineage: Eukaryota; Viridiplantae; Streptophyta; Magnoliopsida; Poales; Poaceae.